GACAGCAGCAGCCGCGGUAAUACGAAGGGGGCUAGCGUUGCUCGGAAUGACUGGGCGUAAAGGGCGCGUAGGCGGUUUAUACAGUCAGAUGUGAAAUUCCUGGGCUCAACCUGGGGACUGCAUUUGAUACGUAUGGACUUGAGUGGAGAAGAGGGUCGUGGAAUUUCCAGUGUAGAGGUGAAAUUCGUAGAUAUUGGAAAGAACACCGGUGGCGAAGGCGGCGACCUGGUCUUUAACUGACGCUGAGGCGCGAAAGCGUGGGGAGCAAACAGGAUUAGAUACCCCAGUAGUCCCUGUCUCUUAUAC
Molecule: ribosomal RNA, 306 nt
Filed under: uncultured bacterium
Lineage: Bacteria
Description: partial 16S ribosomal RNA
Rfam family: Bacterial small subunit ribosomal RNA
Source: RNAcentral